This 3216-nucleotide non-coding RNA is filed under the name Pan troglodytes (chimpanzee). The record is from RNAcentral. Lineage: Eukaryota; Metazoa; Chordata; Mammalia; Primates; Hominidae.
GCUUUGGGCUUGGCUGGAGCACACUCACGGAACCACGCCAACGCCUGGCCUGUAGCCAGCUCCCACCUCCCCUCCCACCUUCUAAAAUGCUUGCGGAUCUCACGUGGCCGACCCUAACCAGAUACACAUGGGGAAAGGAAUCAGGUGGCACACACACUGCCUUUACUCCAUAGAGAACUUCCAAUUGUGGGUAAGAACAAAGCCCCACCUCUGCCUAAUAGAUGCAGUUUUCCACCUGCAGCCAAAAAGACAACCUGUUAUUAGCUUUUUUCCCAGAGGACAGGCAUCUCUAUGAAACUGCCAUUGCAAAAUUUGCUGACAGUGAGAUAACCAGCUCCAUCUUGCUUCUAACCUCCAUGCCCUCCUUGUUUAUUGCUGCGCGCAGGUUGAACUGUGGGAGGAACUUAGUUUAAAACAAAGAUGAUAACAGCCCUUUCCCAAAAGAAACCUUUCCUGGGGACUAGCCUGCUUUUGUGGGACCAACAGAUUAGCCACAAGAUUAGAAACUACGGUUGAAGAGUCACGCAGCGGGAGGCUACAGGAUUCUGACCCUUCCCAAACUGCUCCUGGCGAUAACAUCACCAUCGUAAAGCCUAAGAUCAGCACUUGAUGGGUCACCUGGCACCACCCAGGCUCAUCUGAUGUUGUGGCACCCAGGAACUGACUCAGUGCGAAAACAGCUUCGACUCCCUGUGAUUUCAUCUCUGACCUGACCAAUGGGUACUUCUGACUCACUGGCUGCCCCCCACCCACCAGCUUAUCUUUAAAAACUCCAAACCCCAGAUGCUCAGGGAGACCGAGUAAUAAUAAAACUCCAGUCUCCCACACAGCUAGCUCUGCGUGAAUUACCUUUUCUCUGUUGCAAAUGCCCUUUCUUGAUAAAUUGGCUGUCUAGGUAACAGGGAAGGUGAACCCAUUGGGCAGUUACACUUUUAUCCACCCUUCCAGCUGGAUCACGCGCCCUCUUCAAUGACAUGACACGCAGCUAGAGUGUAUGAGCUUGCUGCCGGCACCUUCCGUCCUGGAUCGCAUAGCAAGGCCUCAACGGACAGCCAGGUGCCUGGUCCGGUCCCACAUUUUUUUCUGUCUUGUUCUCGUUUCCUCUUUGCUUGGCCAAAGAGGGUUGGGCCAGGGUCCUGAGUGCAAGGGCUUGGCUUUGUGAAUUAAAGUGGCAGUAGCCGUGUGGCAGAGAAAAUUUGUAGAUGGGUGAAAUCCUGCAGCUGUUGAUGUUAACAGCAUCCUGGGCCUACACAGUGACAAAGUGUAUAUAGACAGCCAGCCUAGUUGGUGGAUGUGACAACCCCAGACUCUUCUAGAUUUGUGGAUCCGUGCACCUGCCAGACCUGUCUCUGUGCCAUCUGGGGAGGCUGGGUCGGCACAGACGCAACGCAGUCUCCUCCCACCUCCGACAGUGCGGUGUCCUGAAUGGAGAACCCCAGCACCCAGAAGCAUCCACUGAAGGACGUGUGUCCUGGAACCCUGGCUGCACCCACAGACACAGCCACUCCUGGGCCCAUGUGGAUGGAACCUUCGAGUGCCGGAAUGCCUCGUCUCCAUGGAGACCAAACUCAAGGGCCUGACUGGCCCAGGCUACCGAGACCACGAGCCCUGCUGUGCCCCUCGGCCAGGCCAACCCAAAUUCUUUUAAAUAAAAGGCACAAGCCACAGCCACACCAGCAGGAAGUGGAUACAGGAUAAGGGGCAGGGCUCACAUCUCAUCCUCAUCAGCCUUUGACCAGGCGACGGAGUCUGUGAUAGCUAGCUUAUCUGCUCUAUGCUCCAGGGACCUGGCCGGAACGGGCCGAGUUGCUGUCCUCAUGGAACUCUCAUCCUAGUGGGGCAGAGACAAGGACGGUGUAACGUGCCCGGGGGUCAGCACCACAGACAAAACGCAGGGAGCACGGCACAGUGUGGGCCAGGGAAGGCCUGGCUUCCCAAGGGUGUGGGCGCGAGCAGCAUGGCUGUGGGGAGUUCCAGGUGCAGAGAACUACUCCAGAGACGAAGCCAGGCCUGCGAGGAGGCCGGAGCGCAUGAGGGGAAGGCACGACGCAAGGCUGCCAGGGCUGUGCUGGUGGUGCGGGGCAGUCCUGUGGGGGUAGCUGCGGAGAUGGCACUGAUGCCUUCAGCUCCAGCAGCAUCCUGGGCUGGUGCGGGCCAAUAAGGGGCAGGGUUGGGGCAGGAUGAAAGGCACAAGCCACAGCCAUGUCAAGCAGGAAGUGGAUGCAGGGUACAGCCUGUCACGGUCAGGGUGAAAGGCAGGGAGGCGGGUAGGCCAUAGGUGAAUUUGGAGCAGCCUGUAGAGGACAGGAUGUGCCAUCAAAGACUUGUUCUUGGGUCCAGCUGAGACUGUCCCUUGGGGCUUCCUGUCACCUUGUGCAGGAUAGUGAGACCAUCCUUGGAAAACCCAUCGGGACUGCAGAGCAUGGCUCAGAGCUGACUGUCCAGGCCUGGCAGGGGCUGACCCCUGGGCGCUGGUGCACCCUCCGUGCGGCCUCUUGGAGGAAGCACACAAGGCGACAGUUCCCAGCUGCCGCCUGAGAUGCAGCAUCUGCUUUACUCCAGCCCAGCACUGCUCACCGUCACUGCCCACUCUUAUGAUUUUACUUCCCUUCAUGUUUGUGAUUUUGCAAAGAUGGUGUUGACUUACAGCUGCAGCAUCAAAUGACUGCCUGCCACCAGCUUGGCCCCAGCUCAGGGACAUGUCUGAGCCCAGGCAGAGCACCCUAGUGGCCGGGAAGCCUCACCUGGAGCUCCUGCGGGUGGCUGCAGUCCGCCAGGUGAUCCGUGAGGAGGGCUCGGAGAGGCCCCGUGAUGGCGUGGAAGGAUGGCAGGGACCCGUACAUGAGCACGCAGCGCUUCAGCAGGGCCAGGCCCACAGCCAGGCAGGACAGUCUGUGAGGGCAGGAGGCAAGAGGAGGUCCAACUUGUUCUAUUUGUCACUGACAAAACCAAUAACGUGGCAAAAAUGAACUUCCCCACUUCCACUAGGCUGAAAAAUCCAAUGUGGCCACCUUGGCCGGCCAGGGUUGGGCCCAUGCAACCACGGGCAAGGUAGGCUCAGGGUCAGGCCUAACGCAGGAGGGAAGGCUGUGGGAACCACAGCGCCAGCUGGGAUGGGGCGGCUCCAUUUUUGGUUCCAAAUUAUGAUUUGUGAAAUCAAGCAAAAAUGUAUUUUGAAAAUGAAAAGAAAAAGGGACAGCAAGCCAACAUGCCUCA